RNAcentral lists this ribosomal RNA (166 nucleotides) under Croton stellatopilosus. RNAcentral's name for it is "5.8S ribosomal RNA". It matches the Rfam family "5.8S ribosomal RNA". From Rfam's summary of the family: 5.8S ribosomal RNA (5.8S rRNA) is a component of the large subunit of the eukaryotic ribosome. The record is from RNAcentral. Lineage: Eukaryota; Viridiplantae; Streptophyta; Magnoliopsida; Malpighiales; Euphorbiaceae.
ACGACUCUCGGCAACGGAUAUCUCGGCUCUCGCAUCGAUGAAGAACGUAGCGAAAUGCGAUACUUGGUGUGAAUUGCAGAAUCCCGCGAACCAUCGAGUUUUUGAACGCAAGUUGCGCCCAAAGCCGUCAGGCCGAGGGCACGUCUGCCUGGGUGUCACGCAACAU